Molecule: long non-coding RNA, 1216 nt
Organism: Felis catus (domestic cat)
Lineage: Eukaryota; Metazoa; Chordata; Mammalia; Carnivora; Felidae
Exons: 3
Source: RefSeq, a predicted model, not a curated record
GGCCUGCCUUAAAGGUAUAGGCGUUCGGGCCGGCCUCCCCGCAGGUCGCGCCCGCCCCCGCCCCCGCCGGCGCGUCCCUAUUUUAUUGUUCUCUUUGCGAACGUCUUUCUUCCUCUCCGCGAGUCCCGCCCGCGCCCGCGCUCCCGCGUCCUCCCACGCGCGGACCGACCCGGGCGCGCACGCCUUACCUUUCCAGCCCCCACCCCCGCGGGCUCCGGGGGACCCGCGAAAGGGUUUCUCAGCCGCUGAGCGUGCCGGAGCGCGGCCCGGCCGCAGGAGAAAGGGCUUAGCUUGCGAAGUGCCCCCACCCCCGCGGCCAGGCCACCUCGCUUCUCGGGUCAGAAACCUAAGUGUCCAGAUGGCCUAUGCGGAGCGGAAAGGAACUUUCCUAGUGGACUUUUUUUUUUCCGGGAAUGGAUUAGACGCCAUUAAGUAGACAUUUUUCAGUGGCCCCUCCGGACUCCGGGGCUGUGGCAGGUGACCUCCCCAGGGAGAAACCGGGAGCGCGUAAAGGCGAGCCCCGCGCACCGCCCGCGCUUCGACGGAGCCUACACGCUCCGGUUAAGCGCAGUAGGCACCGCACGCGCUCUGCCCAUGGAACCCCACCUCCACCCCACCCCCGCCAGCGACAGGGGGAGAAUUUAAAGGGGGACAUUCUGUAUUCCUUAUUAGGGGAAAGUUUCCCCUUAGUUUGUAAAAGUCUGCGAUACUCCAAGUUUUUCCGCCGACCCCCAAAAGACUUUCUUCCCAUCCGCAUCAGAAGUUGGCUGAACCAGAAUGGGGAGGAAAUGAGCUCUGACCUCCAGAAGAAGAAUGUAGACUGGACAUACGGACAGGUGCUCUGGUGGCAGGUGAUGGCGGAAGUCCCUGUGAGCAUCGUGGAGGGCCACCAUCAGAGCCGCUCCCCAGAGGCAUGGGAUGCAGAGCUGAACAUCAGUAUGUGCAACAAUGCUGUGCAAUGUCAAAGUGCCAAGGGGCCCUGUGUGUGUGUGUGGGUGUGUGUGUGUGCAACAAGUGCACAAGUCACCACACUACUGGGUCUCAGGGCUUUCCCCAGAUGUGGGAAGAGUACAAGGCAAAUACAGAAUAACCAGCCUUUGAUAAAGAGUCUACAAGAAUAUGCCUUCAGGCUAAUAAAACAGAGAAUAGGGGCAGUUCUUCAAAAGUAGAAUCAAAUGCUUUUCUAUUGACAUAAAGGUUUACAACCUAAAGCUGA